UGGGGGAUAUUGCACAAUGGGGGGAACCCUGAUGCAGCGAUGCCGCGUGAGGGAAGAAGGUUUUCGGAUUGUAAACCUCUGUCUUUGGGGAAGAGAAGAAGACGGUACCCAAGGAGGAAGCCACGGCUAACUAUGUGCCAGCAGCCGCGGUAAUACAUAGGUGGCAAGCGUUGUCCGAAAUUACUGGGUGUAAAGGGAGCGUAGGCGGGAAGAUAAGCGGGCUGUAUAACCUAUGGGCUCAACCCAUAGUUGCAGUUCGAACUGUUUUUCUUGAGUGAAGUAGAGGCAAGUGGAAUUCCUAGUGUAGCGGUGGAAUGCGUAGAUAUUAGGAGGAACACCAGUGGCGAAGGCGACUUGCUGGGCUUUAACUGACGCUGAGGCUCGAAAGCGUGGGGAGCAAACA
RNAcentral lists this ribosomal RNA (403 nucleotides) under uncultured bacterium. RNAcentral describes it as "bacterial SSU rRNA". It matches the Rfam family "Bacterial small subunit ribosomal RNA", at positions 355 to 774 of the family's 1533-position model. The record is from RNAcentral.